Molecule: non-coding RNA, 233 nt
Filed under: Alkalihalophilus pseudofirmus
Lineage: Bacteria; Bacillati; Bacillota; Bacilli; Caryophanales; Bacillaceae
Description: Bacillus pseudofirmus T-box sequence
Rfam family: T-box leader
About the family: Uncharged tRNA acts as the effector for transcription antitermination of genes in the T-box leader family. T-boxes are found upstream of many aminoacyl-tRNA synthetase genes and some amino acid biosynthetic genes usually in Gram-positive bacteria. The anticodon of a specific tRNA base pairs to a specifier sequence within the T-box motif, and the NCCA acceptor tail of the tRNA base pairs to a conserved bulge in the T-box antiterminator hairpin.
Source: RNAcentral
UAUAAAACGUUGAUGAAGAAUGAAGAAAUGGAAUCCAUUUUACAGAGAGUUAGUGGCUGGUGUGAACUAACAUGGAUCAUUUCAGAUAGCCCUUCUGAGUUGGCUGAUUGAAACCUACUGGAGUAGAUCAGCUCGGAUGAUCCGUUAUCUUUGGAGAUAAUUCUCCCCUGAGAUGUGUUAUAUCUAACACAUAAAUGAGGGUGGCACCGCGGUUAGAACCUUCCGCCCCUCAC